GCCCUCAUGGUGUAGUGGUAACACGAAGGUCUCAUAUGAAGUUAGCUUAAUGGUUGACAUCUAAUCCUCAGCUCUGAGUUCGAUUCUCAGUGAGGGCA
Transfer RNA from Cryptococcus neoformans, 98 nucleotides. It matches the Rfam family "tRNA". From Rfam's summary of the family: Transfer RNA (tRNA) molecules are approximately 80 nucleotides in length. Their secondary structure includes four short double-helical elements and three loops (D, anti-codon, and T loops). The record is from Rfam. NCBI's taxonomy places the organism in Eukaryota, Fungi, Basidiomycota, Tremellomycetes, Tremellales, Cryptococcaceae.